This 299-nucleotide ribosomal RNA is filed under the name uncultured bacterium. RNAcentral describes it as "partial 16S ribosomal RNA". It matches the Rfam family "Bacterial small subunit ribosomal RNA", at positions 794 to 1089 of the family's 1533-position model. The record is from RNAcentral.
UCCACGCUGUAAACGAUGGAUGCUAGGUGUGGGAGGUCUGAGAUUCCUUCUGCGCCGAAGCUAACGCAUUAAGCAUCCCGCCUGGGGAGUACGGUCGCAAGAUUAAAACUCAAAGGAAUUGACGGGGGCCCGCACAAGUGGUGGAGCAUGUGGUUUAAUUCGAUGCAACGCGAAAAACCUUACCCAGACUUGACAUCUCGGAAAGUUGAAUGAAAGUUUGAUGUGCCCUUGGGGAAUCCGAUGACAGGUGCUGCAUGGUUGUCGUCAGCUCGUGCCGUGAGGUGUUGGGUUAAGUCCCG